This is a non-coding RNA of Fusarium verticillioides 7600, 121 nucleotides long. Lineage: Eukaryota; Fungi; Ascomycota; Sordariomycetes; Hypocreales; Nectriaceae. The record is from the annotation of a RefSeq genome assembly.
CCCCGGUUGGUGUAGUUGGUUAGCACAUUGCCUCUUCUUACUGGUGUCUUCUGUCCCAGUGUAGACUGACUUUCCCUUAAGCCAAAGGCAAAGGUCACAAAUUCGAAUCUUGUACAGGGGA